RNAcentral lists this ribosomal RNA (912 nucleotides) under Stenomelania denisoniensis. RNAcentral describes it as "partial large subunit ribosomal RNA". It matches the Rfam family "Bacterial large subunit ribosomal RNA", at positions 1379 to 2601 of the family's 2925-position model. The record is from RNAcentral. Lineage: Eukaryota; Metazoa; Mollusca; Gastropoda; Thiaridae.
CUAGUUUUCUUAAAACUGUGUAAAAGUACACAAUGAAUGUCAAAGUUAAGAACAAUAUAGGACUAUGACCGUUAUUAAUUUAGGUUCUAUUGGACUUUUUUGAGGAUAAGCUCGAAAAUUGUUGUUGAGAAGUUGUAUAAUUAAAAAUUACUGUGUGGGCCUAAAAUUAGCCAGCAUAAAAGUUUGUUAUAAAAUAAUAAAAUAUAUAAAAAUAAUUACUAUACAAGAUACCACAUUAAACUAUAAGAAUAAUAACCUAAACUGAUGGGUUAAUAUACCUAUGCUAGGAUGAGUAUUUAAACUAUUUUAAGUUGAAAAAUAAAUAUUUCCUUAAAAAACAUUUCUAAUAUAAAUUAAAGAAAAGGAACUCGGCAAAUUAUUGUUUCGCCUGUUUAUCAAAAACAUGGCUCUCUGAAAAAAAUUUAUGGAGAGUCGAACCUGCCCAGUGAAUAGUUUAACGGCCGCGGUACCCUGACCGUGCAAAGGUAGCAUAAUCAUUUGCCUUAUAAUUGAAGGCUUGUAUGAAUGGUCUGACGAGAGCAAUACUGUCUCUUCUUUAUUAUCUAGAAAUUAACCUAUGGGUGAAGAGGCCUAUAUUAUAUUGAAGGACAAGAAGACCCUGUCGAGCUUUAGAGUAAAGUAGGAAUAUGAGUAUCAAAAAAGAUUAACGACUACAUAACUCUUUAGUUGGGGCGACUAAGGAACAAACAAAGCUUCUUUUAUCUCUGUAGAUCAAUAAAUUUAGAUCCAGCAAAGCUGAUUAAAAGAAUUAGUUACCGCAGGGAUAACAGCAUAAUCUCUCUUAAGAGACCUAAUCGAAAGAGGGGGUUGUGACCUCGAUGUUGGACUAAAAUAUCCUGAAGAUGCAGACGUCUUCGAAGGUUGGUCUGUUCGACCAUUAAAAUUUUACAU